GCGGGUGUGAGAGCACGACCCGCGCCACUGGCACUGAGACACUGGCCAGACUCCUACGGGAGGCAGCAGUGGGGAAUAUUGCGCAAUGGGCGAAAGCCUGACGCAGCGACGCCGCGUGGGGGAUGAAGCUUCUCGGAGUGUAAACCCCUUUCGACCCGGACGAAUGACCCGCAAGGGUUUGACGGUACGGGUAUAAGAAGCCCCGGCUAACUACGUGCCAGCAGCCGCGGUAAUACGUAGGGGGCCAGCGUUGCUCGGAAUUACUGGGCGUAAAGGGUUCGUAGGUGGUGCGGCAAGUUGGGAGUGAAAUCUCUGGGCUUAACCCAGAGGCUGCUUUCAAAACUGCCGCGCUCGAGUGCGAGAGAGGUCAGUGGAAUUGCAGGUGUAGCGGUGAAAUGCGUAGAUAUCUGCAGGAACACCCGUGGCGAAGGCGGCUGACUGGAUCGCAACUGACACUGAGGAACGAAAGCUAGGGGAGCAAACAGGAUUAGAUACCCUGGUAGUCCUAGCCCUAAACCAUCGGAACUUGGGGUGGCCCGCGUAGGCGGGUCGUCCCGUAGCUAACGCGUUAAGUUCCGCGCCUGGGGAGUACGGUCGCAAGAC
Molecule: ribosomal RNA, 603 nt
Filed under: uncultured bacterium
Lineage: Bacteria
Description: bacterial SSU rRNA
Rfam family: Bacterial small subunit ribosomal RNA
Source: RNAcentral